CUCCCACCCGUGUUUAUUUUACCUUGUUGCUUCGGCGGGCCCGCCUUANCUGGCCGCCGGGGGGCUUACGCCCCCGGGCCCGCGCCCGCCGAAGACACCCUCGAACUCUGUCUGAAGAUUGAAGUCUGAGUGAAAAUAUAAAUUAUUUAAAACUUUCAACAACGGAUCUCUUGGUUCCGGCAUCGAUGAAGAACGCAGCGAAAUGCGAUACGUAAUGUGAAUUGCAAAUUCAGUGAAUCAUCGAGUCUUUGAACGCACAUUGCGCCCCCUGGUAUUCCGGGGGGCAUGCCUGUCCGAGCGUCAUUGCUGCCCUCAAGCCCGGCUUGUGUGUUGGGCCCCGUCCCCCGAUCUCCGGGGGACGGGCCCGAAAGGCAGCGGCGGCACCGCGUCCGGUCCUCGAGCGUAUGGGGCUUUGUCACCCGCUCUGUANGCCCGGCCGGCGCUUGCCGAUCAACCCAAAUUUUUAUCCAGGUUGACCUCGGAUCANGUAGGGAUACCCGCUGAACUUAAACAUAUCAAUAAGCGGAGGA
RNAcentral lists this ribosomal RNA (530 nucleotides) under Penicillium commune. Its description in RNAcentral is "eukaryotic LSU rRNA". The stretch from base 151 to 303 matches the Rfam family "5.8S ribosomal RNA". Lineage: Eukaryota; Fungi; Ascomycota; Eurotiomycetes; Eurotiales; Aspergillaceae. The record is from RNAcentral.